AGCAGCCGCGGUAAUUCCAGCUCCAAUAGCGUAUAUUAAAGUUGUUGCAGUUAAAAAGCUCGUAGUUGAAUUUCGGGGUCAGUAGGUCGGUCGUGCCACUGGUAUGAACUGGUUUUACUGAUUCCUCCCUCUUGAAGAACUGUAAUGCCAUUAAUUUGGUGUUGCAGGGAAUCAGGACUGUUACUUUGAAAAAAUUAGAGUGUUUAAAGCAGGCUUUAGCUUGAAUACAUUAGCAUGGAAUAAUGAAAUAGGACGUUUGAUCCUAUUUUGUUGGUUUCUAGGAUUGACGUAAUGAUUAAUAGGGAUAGUUGGGGGCAUUAGUAUUCAAUUGUCAGAGGUGAAAUUCUUGGAUUUAUUGAAGACUAACUACUGCGAAAGCAUUUGCCAAGGAUGUUUUCAUUAAUCAAGAACGAAAGUUAGGGGAUCGAAGACGAUCAGAUACCGUCGUAGUCUUAACCAUAAACUAUGCCGACUAGGGAUCGGAUGAUGUUAAUUUUUUUAAUGACUCAUUCGGCG
This 516-nucleotide ribosomal RNA is filed under the name uncultured Glomus. RNAcentral describes it as "SSU rRNA". It matches the Rfam family "Eukaryotic small subunit ribosomal RNA", at positions 569 to 1085 of the family's 1831-position model. The record is from RNAcentral. Lineage: Eukaryota; Fungi; Glomeromycota; Glomeromycetes; Glomerales; Glomeraceae.